RNAcentral lists this ribosomal RNA (301 nucleotides) under uncultured bacterium. RNAcentral's name for it is "partial 16S ribosomal RNA". It matches the Rfam family "Bacterial small subunit ribosomal RNA", at positions 509 to 808 of the family's 1533-position model. The record is from RNAcentral.
CAGUCGCCGCGGUAAAACGGAGGGUGCAGCGUUAAUCGGAAUUACUGGGCGUAAAGCGCACGCAGGCGGUUUGUUAAGUCUGCUGUGAAAUCCCCGGGCUCAACCUGGGAAUGGCAGUGGAUACUGGCAAGCUAGAGUGUGUCAGAGGAUGGUGGAAUUCCCGGUGUAGCGGUGAAAUGCGUAGAGGUCGGGAGGAACAUCAGUGGCGAAGGCGGCCAUCUGGGACAACACUGACGCUGAGGCACGAAAGCGUGGGGAGCAAACAGGAUUAGAUACCCCCGUAGUCCCUGUCUCUUAUACA